Molecule: ribosomal RNA, 447 nt
Filed under: uncultured bacterium
Lineage: Bacteria
Description: SSU rRNA
Rfam family: Bacterial small subunit ribosomal RNA
Source: RNAcentral
AGAGCGAACGCUGGCGGCAGGCUUAACACAUGCAAGUCGAGCGGGCGUAGCAAUACGUCAGCGGCAGACGGGUGAGUAACGCGUGGGAACAUACCUUUUGGUUCGGAACAACACAGGGAAACUUGUGCUAAUACCGGAUAAGCCCUUACGGGGAAAGAUUUAUCGCCGAAAGAUUGGCCCGCGUCUGAUUAGCUAGUUGGUGAGGUAACGGCUCACCAAGGCGACGAUCAGUAGCUGGUCUGAGAGGAUGAUCAGCCACAUUGGGACUGAGACACGGCCCAAACUCCUACGGGAGGCAGCAGUGGGAAUAUUGGACAAUGGGCGAAAGCCUGAUCCAGCCAUGCCGCGUGAGUGAUGAAGGCCCUAGGGUUGUAAAGCUCUUUUGUGCGGGAAGAUAAUGACGGUACCGCAAGAAUAAGCCCCGGCUAACUUCGCGCCAGCAGCCGC